GGGCGCGUAGCUCAGGUGGUAGAGCACCUGACUUUUAAUCAGGGAGUCACAGGUUCGAGUCCUGUCGCGCCUACCA
RNAcentral lists this transfer RNA (76 nucleotides) under Rhodospirillales bacterium. Its description in RNAcentral is "tRNA-Lys". It matches the Rfam family "tRNA". Rfam says of the family: Transfer RNA (tRNA) molecules are approximately 80 nucleotides in length. Their secondary structure includes four short double-helical elements and three loops (D, anti-codon, and T loops). The record is from RNAcentral. Lineage: Bacteria; Pseudomonadati; Pseudomonadota; Alphaproteobacteria; Rhodospirillales.